GAUGAACGCUGGCGGCGUGCCUAAUACAUGCAAGUCGAGCGAACGGACGAGAAGCUUGCUUCUCUGAUGUUAGCGGCGGACGGGUGAGUAACACGUGGAUAACCUACCUAUAAGACUGGGAUAACUUCGGGAAACCGGAGCUAAUACCGGAUAAUAUUUUGAACCGCAUGGUUCAAAAGUGAAAGACGGUCUUGCUGUCACUUAUAGAUGGAUCCGCGCUGCAUUAGCUAGUUGGUAAGGUAACGGCUCACUAAGGCAACGAUGCAUAGCCGACCUGAGAGGGUGAUCGGCCACACUGGAACUGAGACACGGUCCAGACUCCUACGGGAGGCAGCAGUAGGGAAUCUUCCGCAAUGGGCGAAAGCCUGACGGAGCAACGCCGCGUGAGUGAUGAAGGUCUUCGGAUCGUAAAACUCUGUUAUUAGGGAAGAACAUAUGUGUAAGUAACUGUGCACAUCUUGACGGUACCUAAUCAGAAAGCCACGGCUAACUACGUG
This 497-nucleotide ribosomal RNA is filed under the name uncultured bacterium. Its description in RNAcentral is "partial 16S ribosomal RNA". It matches the Rfam family "Bacterial small subunit ribosomal RNA", at positions 28 to 507 of the family's 1533-position model. The record is from RNAcentral.